GUUGAGCCCGAGUAAACGGCGGCCGUAACUAUAACGGUCCUAAGGUAGCGAAAUUCCUUGUCGGUUAAAUACCGACCUGCAUGAAUGGCGUAACGAGAUGGGAGCUGUCUCAACCAGAGAUUCAGUGAAAUUGUAGUGGAGGUGAAAAUUCCUCCUACCCGCGGCAAGACGGAAAGACCCC
Molecule: ribosomal RNA, 181 nt
Filed under: Helicobacter pylori
Lineage: Bacteria; Pseudomonadati; Campylobacterota; Epsilonproteobacteria; Campylobacterales; Helicobacteraceae
Description: partial 23S ribosomal RNA
Rfam family: Bacterial large subunit ribosomal RNA
Source: RNAcentral